RNAcentral lists this microRNA precursor (63 nucleotides) under Blattella germanica (German cockroach). RNAcentral's name for it is "Bge-Mir-927-P2-v2_pre stem-loop". Lineage: Eukaryota; Metazoa; Arthropoda; Insecta; Blattodea; Blattellidae. The record is from RNAcentral.
UUUAGAAUUUGUACGCUUUGUUGUAAUUUUUUUAAAAAUCACAAAGCAUAUGGAUUCUUGAGC